RNAcentral lists this ribosomal RNA (466 nucleotides) under uncultured bacterium. RNAcentral's name for it is "bacterial SSU rRNA". It matches the Rfam family "Bacterial small subunit ribosomal RNA", at positions 338 to 795 of the family's 1533-position model. The record is from RNAcentral.
CCUACGGGCGGCUGCAGUGGGGAAUUUUGGGCAAUGGGCGCAAGCCUGACCCAGCGACGCUGCGUGGGUGAUGACGGUCUUUGGAUUGUAAAACCCUUUUAUGGAGGAGUAAGGCGGGAAGGAGGAAAUGCCUUUCCGUUUGACAGUACUCCAUGAAUAAGCCCCAGCCAACUACGUGCCAGCAGCUGCGGUAAUACGUAGGGGGCAAGCGUUGUCCGGAAUUACUGGGUGUAAAGGGUGUGCAGGCGUCUCCCUAAGUUGAUUGUGAAAGCCCGAAGCUCAACUUCGGAACGGCAGUCAAUACUGGGGGGAUGGAGGUUAUGGGAGGGAAGUGGAAUUCUCGGUGUAGCGGUGAAAUGCGUAGAUAUCGAGAGGAACACCGGUGGCGAAGGCGGCUUCCUAUCAUAGACCUGACGCUCAUACACGAAAGCUAGGGGAGCAAACAGGCUUAGAUACCCCUGUAGUC